GCACCCUUAGUGUUUCUCUUUCAUUUGUUGAGUCCUUUUCUUUUCUUAUUCAUUUGUUCUUAAUACUUAAACUCAUAUGAACUUACUUACAACUUCGUGGCCCAAAGUUACCUCUUUCAAUCAUCACCACCCCCAACAUAGGCUUUUAGCCUCAAGUUGUAAUUUUAAGUUCAAGGAUGGUAGGGUUCAAAAGAGGAAUAAAAGUUGAAAGUCUCAC
Molecule: long non-coding RNA, 217 nt
Filed under: Capsicum annuum
Lineage: Eukaryota; Viridiplantae; Streptophyta; Magnoliopsida; Solanales; Solanaceae
Description: long non-coding RNA (CANN_LNC015736)
Source: RNAcentral